AGCCUUCUGUAUUCGUGCUGAGAUUUCGUCACACUCUAGACCACAAGGGCUGAUGAGACUUUCAAGAUAAGUGAAGCG
Non-coding RNA from Schistosoma margrebowiei, 78 nucleotides. NCBI's taxonomy places the organism in Eukaryota, Metazoa, Platyhelminthes, Trematoda, Strigeidida, Schistosomatidae. The record is from Rfam.